CACAACCCGUUGGUUUGAUCGGGAUGACCCUUCGGGAAAGGGAGACUACGAACUCAUCGUCGAUCUCAGGAAAGAAUAUCCGAACAAGAUCUGUGACAACCCCUUAGCGAUCAGCGUCCAGACGUUGGAUGGGACUCCUGCCUCCCAGACUGGACAAACGUUUGCCGUGUUCAGCGCCGCCGAAGGCUUUGCCUGUGUCAACCAGGAGCAGGCGCCGGGGAGAAAAUCCUGCCUAGACUACAAGGUCCAGUUCACCUGUCCCAAGAGCUUCUGCUAAGCAAAGGAGCACCAAAAGUGGGAUCCAAAGAUAUGCAGAACUUUCAACGAAGAGGAUUCUGUCAACCGCUGGAUUUGCAUCUUGCGUGUGCAAAAUGCUUCUCUCAAGGCAUACAAGCCACUGUUGAAAAUAAAGGCAUA
Anolis sagrei ordinatus is the source of this 417-nucleotide non-coding RNA. Lineage: Eukaryota; Metazoa; Chordata; Lepidosauria; Squamata; Anolidae. The record is from RefSeq and is a predicted model, not a curated record.